RNAcentral lists this ribosomal RNA (943 nucleotides) under Pantoea stewartii. RNAcentral describes it as "bacterial SSU rRNA". It matches the Rfam family "Bacterial small subunit ribosomal RNA", at positions 121 to 1059 of the family's 1533-position model. The record is from RNAcentral. Lineage: Bacteria; Pseudomonadati; Pseudomonadota; Gammaproteobacteria; Enterobacterales; Erwiniaceae.
GGAAACUGCCCGAUGGAGGGGGAUAACUACUGGAAACGGUAGCUAAUACCGCAUAACGUCGCAAGACCAAAGUGGGGGACCUCCGGGCCUCACACCAUCGGAUGUGCCCAGAUGGGAUUAGCUUGUAGGCGGGGUAACGGCCCACCUAGGCGACGAUCCCUAGCUGGUCUGAGAGGAUGACCAGCCACACUGGAACUGAGACACGGUCCAGACUCCUACGGGAGGCAGCAGUGGGGAAUAUUGCACAAUGGGCGCAAGCCUGAUGCAGCCAUGCCGCGUGUAUGAAGAAGGCCUUCGGGUUGUAAAGUACUUUCAGCGGGGAGGAAGGUGCUGAGGUUAAUAACCUCAGCAAUUGACGUUACCCGCAGAAGAAGCACCGGCUAACUCCGUGCCAGCAGCCGCGGUAAUACGGAGGGUGCAAGCGUUAAUCGGAAUUACUGGGCGUAAAGCGCACGCAGGCGGUCUGUUAAGUCAGAUGUGAAAUCCCCGGGCUUAACCUGGGAACUGCAUUUGAAACUGGCAGGCUUGAGUCUCGUAGAGGGGGGUAGAAUUCCAGGUGUAGCGGUGAAAUGCGUAGAGAUCUGGAGGAAUACCGGUGGCGAAGGCGGCCCCCUGGACGAAGACUGACGCUCAGGUGCGAAAGCGUGGGGGAGCAAACAGGAUUAGAUACCCUGGUAGUCCACGCCGUAAACGAUGUCGACUUGGAGGUUGUUCCCUUGAGGAGUGGCUUCCGGAGCUAACGCGUUAAGUCGACCGCCUGGGGAGUACGGCCGCAAGGUUAAAACUCAAAUGAAUUGACGGGGGCCCGCACAAGCGGUGGAGCAUGUGGUUUAAUUCGAUGCAACGCGAAGAACCUUACCUACUCUUGACAUCCAGCGAACUUGCAGAGAUGGACUGGUGCCUUCGGGAACGCUGAGACAGGUGCUGCAUGGCUGUCGUCAGC